This 497-nucleotide ribosomal RNA is filed under the name uncultured bacterium. Its description in RNAcentral is "partial 16S ribosomal RNA". It matches the Rfam family "Bacterial small subunit ribosomal RNA", at positions 28 to 507 of the family's 1533-position model. The record is from RNAcentral.
GAUGAACGCUGGCGGCGUGCCUAAUACAUGCGAGUCGAGCGAACAGACGAGGAGCUUGCUCCUCUGACGUUAGCGGCGGACGGGUGAGUAACACGUGGAUAACCUACCUAUAAGACUGGGAUAACUUCGGGAAACCGGAGCUAAUACCGGAUAAUAUAUUGAACCGCAUGGUUCAAUAGUGAAAGACGGUUUUGCUGUCACUUAUAGAUGGAUCCGCGCCGCAUUAGCUAGUUGGUAAGGUAACGGCUUACCAAGGCAACGAUGCGUAGCCGACCUGAGAGGGUGAUCGGCCACACUGGAACUGAGACACGGUCCAGACUCCUACGGGAGGCAGCAGUAGGGAAUCUUCCGCAAUGGGCGAAAGCCUGACGGAGCAACGCCGCGUGAGUGAUGAAGGUCUUCGGAUCGUAAAACUCUGUUAUUAGGGAAGAACAAAUGUGAAAGUAACUAUGCACGUCUUGACGGUACCUAAUCAGAAAGCCACGGCUAACUACGUG